AAAUUGACGGGGGCCCGCACAAGCAGCGGAGCGUGUGGUUUAAUCGAUGCAACGCGAAGAACCUUACCAAGGCUUGACAUGCCAGAAGUAGGAACUCGAAAGAGAGACCACCUGUAUCCAGUCAGGAACUGGCACAGGUGCUGCAUGGCUGUCGUCAGCUCGUGCCGUGAGGUGUUAGGUUAAGUCCUGCAACGAGCGCAACCCUCGUCGCUAGUUAAAUUUUUCUAGCGAUACUGCCCGUAAAACGAGGAGGAAGGUGGGAUGACGUCAAGUCAGCAUGGCCCUUACGCCUUGGGCUACACACACGCUACAAUGGGUGAUACAACGGGUUGCGAGAGAGCGAUCUGGAGCUAAUCCCUAAAAUCAUCCUCAGUUCGGAUUGCAGGCUGAAACUGCCUGCAUGAAGUUGGAGUUGCUAGUAACCGCAGGUCAGCACACUGCGGUGAAUACGUUCUCGGGCCUU
This 463-nucleotide ribosomal RNA is filed under the name uncultured Chloroflexota bacterium. Its description in RNAcentral is "bacterial SSU rRNA". It matches the Rfam family "Bacterial small subunit ribosomal RNA", at positions 908 to 1382 of the family's 1533-position model. The record is from RNAcentral. Lineage: Bacteria; Bacillati; Chloroflexota.